UGCAAGGCCCUGGGCUCUACCUCAGUAAUGAAAAAAGGUCAACAGACAUAGCUUUGCUCCUGCUUGAGGAGUGCUUAUUAUGAGAGGAAGGUAAUGGUGCCUCUGGGUUUUCUAUAGGCAGACAUGCAAAAACAGCUAAUCUUGUCUUUACAAACCAACAGUGUGCUGUAUGAAUGUGUUCAAGAUGGACAAAGUAGGUAGGGCCUGUCCGAUGAUGUCAGCCAUGGGCACUAGGCCACAGGGCAUUCUGGGAAGCCAUUCAGCCCCAUGAAUUGUAUAUCUCUGGAGAACUGGACCCUGGGUGUGGUGGCACCUUUCUCAGUAGCGGCAAAUGGGUUUCUGAGUGAGGUCAGUAGGGUGUCUUCAGAACAUUAGUUUUUAGAGACACAGAUUUUUCAUUUUUCUUUAGUUUCAAGAACUUACAGUCACAAGAGGGCCUUUGUAUUGUUAUUCAAUAGAAGGCUGCCCUUUCCCUGACAAGGUGACACAGUGCUUCUGACUGUGUUCCUGUGCACUGUGGAGAUAUCUGUCACAGGGGUCCUUAGUGAAUUUGCCUUUUCACAUUCGUCUCACCAUCUUCCUGUCAUCCUUAAUGUCCAUGUGAUGUUUUAUCGGUUGCUCAAUAGUCAAUAGUUUGUUGGUGUUUAAUUGUUGUUUAUUACCAAAAAGGCCGUGGGCGCCUCUCAUGCAUGCAAAUCCUUGUUAGUGGAGUAUUUUUUAAAGGUUUGUUUUCUUUUUAAUUAUGCAUGUCUGUGUAUGUUCUGUUCAUUGUGCCCAUGGAAGACAGAAGAGCUUGUUGGGUCUGGGUCCCUUAGAGCUGGAGAAGUUACAGGUGGCCUUGAGCGGGGACUUGGAUCAUCUGUGAGAGCAAUAAGCACUUGCCCGCUGAGCCAUCUUUCCAGCCCCCGGAAUUUUUUUUUUUUUUUUAAUAUUGAUUGUUUUCUUAAACGUAUUUUGUAAUUUGUCCCAAGUUUUUUUUUUUUUUUUUUUUUUUGGCUUUUUGAGACAGGGUUUCAUUGUGUAUCCCUGGCAGUCCUGGAACUCACUUUGUAGACCAGGCUGGCCUCGAACUCAGAAAUCCGCCUGCCUCUGCCUCCCGAGUGCUGGGAUUAAAGGCGUGUGCCACCACACCCUGCUCUUUUUCUUUUUUUAAAAAAGAUUUAUUUUAUUCAUAUGAGUGCAAUGUAGCUGUCUUCAGCCACACCAGAAGAAGGCAUUGGAUCCCAUUACAGAUGGUUGUGUGCCACUCUGUGUUUGCUGGGAAUUGAACUCAGGACCUUUGGAAGAGCAGUCAGUGCUUUUAACCGUUGAGUCAUCUCUCCAGCCUGGACCCUCUUUUUUUUUUUUCCCCUAAUUGAAAAUACUUCUUUUUAUACAAUAUAUUCUGAUCAUGUUUUCCCUUCUCCAACUCCUCUCAGAUCCUCCCUACCUCCCCACCCACCCAAAUCCACACCUUUUCUUUCUCCCUCCCAUUAGAAAACAGUUAACAACACACACACACACAUGAAUAGGACAAAACAGACCUUUUUAUUAUUUUAAACAGAGAAUCUCAGUGCUCACUCGUGUCAUCUUUUCCUUUCUUAGAGUAGAUUUUGAUAAAAAGAUAGUCAUACAAGCACAGGCAGCUUUUAUAUGCCCAAACCUAUCGUGUCCAUUUGGAAUUUUAAUACUUGGAUUUCUGACUGGCAGCAUUUAGGGUUCCCUUGCUUUUAAUCUAGUGGCAAGUUGUUUCAUAACAGUACAGCAUACUGUUAAUUCCUGAGUGUGUAUACGUUUCUUUGGCUCAUUGGGUCCUUGUUAUAUUUAAUGUUGUAGACAGCAUUACUGAACUGUUUUGAUGGUGUACUAUUUUUAACCAUUUAGUGAAAUAGGCUUACUAUUAAACAUUAAUUUAUAAGGACAUUACAAUUCAGACAAGGAAUUAUAAUUCCUAAGUAUGUGAAUUUGUAAUAAGAUCUCUUUAGAUCAGCGAAGCCCCUGUUUAUCUGAGAGGCGCCGCCUGCCAUGAGUACCAUGGACAGUGAUUUUACUGAGUCUAAUGUUUAGGCCUUCCAGUGUUUAAAACUGUUUUAUUGCAAGUUUGGCAGAGAUGACCUCGGUGAGUUCAUGGUGCAGUUAACGUGAUUUUUAUGCCAUAUUUGCUGAUUUUUACAGAUUAAAUUUAAAAAAUUACAUUUACAAAAUUGUUGUUUUGAGGAAUAUUGUUGUUGAUUUUGUUUGUUUUGUUUUGAGUGACUGUUAGUAUUCUUGAAUACUGUUAGACCUGACAGGAUUAGCUGUAGUAAAUUAUCAGUUUUAAAGGUGAGUGUUGUUUUAUUGUAAAAUGCAUGUUUUAGAUAUUUGGAAAAUACUAAUAAAAGCAAAGGUAACAAAG
Molecule: long non-coding RNA, 2374 nt
Filed under: Mus musculus (house mouse)
Lineage: Eukaryota; Metazoa; Chordata; Mammalia; Rodentia; Muridae
Description: long non-coding RNA chr17:13015743-13018117
Source: RNAcentral